GGAGAAUAACCAUCAUUCCCCUUGAGCAUACCUUCAUGUUCAAUCUCGACAGUUACACUCGAAAACUACUUUCUGUACUUGGGAAGAAGGGUGUCACUAUCGGGGCAAAGCUGAGACCUGUUUUGGACAAACAGACACAGGACCAAACAGUUGAGAUGAGACGUGGAGAUGUGAUUCGUGGAUUAAUGCUCUACCUCGGUGAAAAAGAGGAAGAACUCUUUCUGGAUUGAUAGGUGGACAACUUCAAGGAUGUUUGGCAGCACAACAUGAAGAUCAUUGCUGUUCGAGCUUCCUAUGCUGAAGAUCCUGUGGAUGUCUGUAUUGUUCUUGACGGCAAGGAGAUUUUGACUGGAUGUGGAAAUGCUGCAAAGGCAUGUACACUGCUAAUGGGUCUCAUAUAUUCCCUCAAUCUUGCUUAUUCUCCAAAGCUGUUUCACUUUUAAACUGUUCCGGAAACUUUUCUUAGAUUUAGAUGCAAUAAAGCUAUCCCCCAAAAUACAAACCCUAACAAAUGAAGUUGCUGUCCAAAUGUAAAAUUUGACAUUUUGUUCAGACUAAGUGGCUUGGCAUUGGCAUUUCCAUGGUAGCAUUUUAUUCUAGCAAGUAGUUUUGUUAUGGUGUAACAUCUGCACAUGUUUCAAAGUGGUGUUAUAUUUGGAUGUUAUUUAUAAGUCUUUCUGGUUUGGAAGUCACUUUUCAUGCAGACCUUAGACUAUUUUUUGGUUCUUUAUCUAGUUUAAGUUUUCUUUAAUAUUUACUGCAAUGCCCAAUACUCUGCUGCAAUCAUUUGUUGCACUAAAUGCUAAUAAUUGUUCAUGAAUGUUAAUACAGUUAUACCACAUAUGCAGCCAUU
Molecule: long non-coding RNA, 853 nt
Organism: Sphaeramia orbicularis (orbiculate cardinalfish)
Lineage: Eukaryota; Metazoa; Chordata; Actinopteri; Kurtiformes; Apogonidae
Exons: 3
Source: RefSeq, a predicted model, not a curated record